RNAcentral lists this ribosomal RNA (497 nucleotides) under uncultured bacterium. RNAcentral describes it as "partial 16S ribosomal RNA". It matches the Rfam family "Bacterial small subunit ribosomal RNA", at positions 28 to 507 of the family's 1533-position model. The record is from RNAcentral.
GAUGAACGCUGGCGGCGUGCCUAAUACAUGCAAGUCGAGCGAACAGACGAGGAGCUUGCUCCUCUGACGUUAGCGGCGGACGGGUGAGUAACACGUGGAUAACCUACCUAUAAGACUGGGAUAACUUCGGGAAACCGGAGCUAAUACCGGAUAAUAUAUUGAACCGCAUGGUUCAAUAGUGAAAGACGGUUUUGCUGUCACUUAUAGAUGGAUCCGCGCCGCAUUAGCUAGUUGGUAAGGUAACGGCUUACCAAGGCAACGAUGCGUAGCCGACCUGAGAGGGUGAUCGGCCACACUGGAACUGAGACACGGUCCAGACUCCUACGGGAGGCAGCAGUGGGGAAUCUUCCGCAAUGGGCGAAAGCCUGACGGAGCAACGCCGCGUGAGUGAUGAAGGUCUUCGGAUCGUAAAACUCUGCUAUUAGGGAAGAACAAAUGUGUAAGUAACUAUGCACGUCUUGACGGUACCUAAUCAGAAAGCCACGGCUAACUACGUG